This 253-nucleotide ribosomal RNA is filed under the name uncultured bacterium. RNAcentral describes it as "partial 16S ribosomal RNA". It matches the Rfam family "Bacterial small subunit ribosomal RNA", at positions 524 to 776 of the family's 1533-position model. The record is from RNAcentral.
UACGUAUGGUGCAAGCGUUAUCCGGAUUUAUUGGGCGUAAAGGGCUCGUAGGCGGUUCGUCGCGUCCGGUGUGAAAGUCCAUCGCUUAACGGUGGAUCCGCGCCGGGUACGGGCGGGCUUGAGUGCGGUAGGGGAGACUGGAAUUCCCGGUGUAACGGUGGAAUGUGUAGAUAUCGGGAAGAACACCAAUGGCGAAGGCAGGUCUCUGGGCCGUUACUGACGCUGAGGAGCGAAAGCGUGGGGAGCGAACAGG